CCCUACGGGAGGCAGCAGUGGGGAAUAUUGCACAAUGGGCGAAAGCCUGAUGCAGCGACGCCGCGUGAGCGAUGAAGGCCUUCGGGUCGUAAAGCUCUGUCCUAAGGGAAGAAUAUUGACGGUACCUUAGGAGGAAGCCCCGGCUAACUACGUGCCAGCAGCCGCGGUAA
RNAcentral lists this ribosomal RNA (170 nucleotides) under uncultured bacterium. RNAcentral's name for it is "partial 16S ribosomal RNA". It matches the Rfam family "Bacterial small subunit ribosomal RNA", at positions 337 to 523 of the family's 1533-position model. The record is from RNAcentral.